This 1505-nucleotide ribosomal RNA is filed under the name uncultured bacterium. Its description in RNAcentral is "bacterial SSU rRNA". It matches the Rfam family "Bacterial small subunit ribosomal RNA". The record is from RNAcentral.
GCGCCGCUGCAGAGUUUGAUCCUGGCUCAGAUUGAACGCUGGCGGCAGGCUUAACACAUGCAAGUCGAGCGGUAACAGGAGAAGCUUGCUUCUUGCUGACGAGCGGCGGACGGGUGAGUAAUACUUAGGAAUCUGCCCAGUAGUGGGGGAUAGCUCGGGGAAACUCGAAUUAAUACCGCAUACACCCUACGGGGAAAAGGGGGCGCUUGCGCUCUCGCUAUUGGAUGAGCCUAAGUCGGAUUAGCUAGUUGGUGGGGUAAAGGCCUACCAAGGCGACGAUCUGUAGCUGGUCUGAGAGGAUGAUCAGCCACACCGGGACUGAGACACGGCCCGGACUCCUACGGGAGGCAGCAGUGGGGAAUAUUGGACAAUGGGGGCAACCCUGAUCCAGCCAUGCCGCGUGUGUGAAGAAGGCCUUUUGGUUGUAAAGCACUUUAAGCAGUGAAGAAGACUCUAUGGUUAAUACCCAUAGACGAUGACAUUAGCUGCAGAAUAAGCACCGGCUAACUCUGUGCCAGCAGCCGCGGUAAUACAGAGGGUGCAAGCGUUAAUCGGAAUUACUGGGCGUAAAGCGAGCGUAGGUGGCUUGAUAAGUCAGAUGUGAAAUCCCCGGGCUUAACCUGGGAACUGCAUCUGAUACUGUUAGGCUAGAGUAGGUGAGAGGGAGGUAGAAUUUCAGGUGUAGCGGUGAAAUGCGUAGAGAUCUGAAGGAAUACCGAUGGCGAARGCAGCCUCCUGGCAUCAUACUGACACUGAGGUUCGAAAGCGUGGGUAGCAAACAGGAUUAGAUACCCUGGUAGUCCACGCCGUAAACGAUGUCUACUAGCCGUUGGGGAACUUGAUUCCUUAGUGACGCAGCUAACGCAAUAAGUAGACCGCCUGGGGAGUACGGCCGCAAGGUUAAAACUCAAAUGAAUUGACGGGGGCCCGCACAAGCGGUGGAGCAUGUGGUUUAAUUCGAUGCAACGCGAAGAACCUUACCUGGUCUUGACAUAUCUAGAAUCCUGCAGAGAUGCGGGAGUGCCUUCGGGAAUUAGAAUACAGGUGCUGCAUGGCUGUCGUCAGCUCGUGUCGUGAGAUGUUGGGUUAAGUCCCGCAACGAGCGCAACCCUUUUCCUUAGUUACCAGCGGUUUGGCCGGGGACUCUAAGGAUACUGCCAGUGACAAACUGGAGGAAGGCGGGGACGACGUCAAGUCAUCAUGGCCCUUACGACCAGGGCUACACACGUGCUACAAUGGUAGGUACAGAGGGCAGCUACACAGCGAUGUGAUGCGAAUCUCAAAAAGCCUAUCGUAGUCCAGAUUGGAGUCUGCAACUCGACUCCAUGAAGUCGGAAUCGCUAGUAAUCGCGGAUCAGAAUGCCGCGGUGAAUACGUUCCCGGGCCUUGUACACACCGCCCGUCACACCAUGGGAGUUGAUUGCACCAGAAGUGGGUAGCCUAACUUUUAGAGGGCGCUCACCACGGUGUGGUCGAUGACUGGGGUGAAGUCGUAACAAAGGUAA